RNAcentral lists this long non-coding RNA (566 nucleotides) under Lynx canadensis (Canada lynx). RNAcentral's name for it is "lncRNA (ENSLCNG00005019763.1)". The record is from RNAcentral. Lineage: Eukaryota; Metazoa; Chordata; Mammalia; Carnivora; Felidae.
GCAUCGCGUGACAGGGACUUCCGGCCCCUCGCCCGCGUUUUUUGCGGUUCUUGGGGAUCCCUGGCGCAGCGUUGAGACGCGCAUGACAGAACGGAGCAGGCAUGGCGAGAGCCAUGCUCACAGCCGAGACGCGGGCUAGCGGCUCGGCGACGUUGCCGGUGCUGCUCUGCGCCGGGGCCCGGACAGGCACCGCCCGCCCGGGUGUCCGCUCCGCCCAUGGAGUCCGAUGGCGACGGCCGCGCGCAGGGACCCGGCUGAGGGGCUUGUCUGUGCUUCCUGUAUCAGGACCAUGGACACUGCUUCUUGCCCCAGCUCCCCAAGUAUGUGCUGUGGCUGGUAAGGCUGAGGUGGUUGGUGUGGAGGAGACCACGAGGAGGAGCAUUUCUGUAGGCGUGCCACAGGUGAGGACUCCAAGGCAGGUGUGUCUGCCCAGAAGGCCUGCUCCUAGGAGAUACGAAGCCUCGUCUCGAGGGACAUUUAUGUGCACCAGGGAGCACAUACCACGCGGAGGCUGUACACCCAUGGGGCAGGUGGGCAGUGAAUGUUUUAUUGCAGACCUCCUGUAG